Molecule: ribosomal RNA, 497 nt
Filed under: uncultured bacterium
Lineage: Bacteria
Description: partial 16S ribosomal RNA
Rfam family: Bacterial small subunit ribosomal RNA
Source: RNAcentral
GAUGAACGCUGGCGGCGUGCCUAAUACAUGCAAGUCGAGCGAACAGACGAGGAGCUUGCUCCUCUGACGUUAGCGGCGGACGGGUGAGUGACACGUGGAUAACCUACCUAUAAGACUGGGAUAACUUCGGGAAACCGGAGCUAAUACCGGAUAAUAUAUUGAACCGCAUGGUUCAAUAGUGAAAGACGGUUUUGCUGUCACUUAUAGAUGGAUCCGCGCCGCAUUAGCUAGUUGGUAAGGUAACAGCUUACCAAGGCAACGAUGCGUAGCCGACCUGAGAGGGUGAUCGGCCACACUGGAACUGAGACACGGUCCAGACUCCUACGGGAGGCAGCAGUAGGGAAUCUUCCGCAAUGGGCGAAAGCCUGACGGAGCAACGCCGCGUGAGUGAUGAAGGUCUUCGGAUCGUAAAACUCUGUUAUUAGGGAAGAACAAAUGUGUAAGUAACUAUGCACGUCUUGACGGUACCUAAUCAGAAAGCCACGGCUAACUACGUG